RNAcentral lists this ribosomal RNA (279 nucleotides) under uncultured bacterium. RNAcentral describes it as "partial 16S ribosomal RNA". It matches the Rfam family "Bacterial small subunit ribosomal RNA", at positions 506 to 784 of the family's 1533-position model. The record is from RNAcentral.
UGCCAGCCGCCGCGGUAAUACAGAGGGUGCAAACGUUGCUCGGAAUUAUUGGGCGUAAAGAGCAUGUAGGCGGCCUGUUAAGUCGACUGUGAAAUCCCAUGGCUCAACCAUGGAAGUGCAGUCGAUACUGGCAGGCUAGAGUCCUGGAGAGGGUGGUGGAAUUCUCAAUGUAGAGGUGAAAUUCGUAGAUAUUGGGAGGAACACCGGUGGCGAAGGCAGCCACCUGGACAGGUACUGACGCUGAGAUGCGAAAGCGUGGGGAGCAAACAGGAUUAGAUA